UGCAGAGGCGCAUAAUAGAUC
This 21-nucleotide non-coding RNA is filed under the name Arabidopsis thaliana (thale cress). Lineage: Eukaryota; Viridiplantae; Streptophyta; Magnoliopsida; Brassicales; Brassicaceae. The record is from RNAcentral.